AUCUUUUCCUUCCACAGAUAACAAGAUCUUAAUUUCGCUUGUAGUUUAUAGCUGUAUGAAUAGGUAAAAGGGGAUUCUUACUCGGAUGCAAAACUCAGAACAUGACCAAAGACUAAUUUUCUAGGUUGUACAGGAAAACACAGAGAAGACAAAAUGGAGGCUUUUAAAAACCCUUCAGGGGAUCUGGCACAGUGGCUAACACCUGUAAUCCCAGCACUUUGGGA
Molecule: long non-coding RNA, 224 nt
Filed under: Homo sapiens (human)
Lineage: Eukaryota; Metazoa; Chordata; Mammalia; Primates; Hominidae
Description: HSALNT0016603
Source: RNAcentral